This 2347-nucleotide long non-coding RNA is filed under the name Triticum aestivum (bread wheat). RNAcentral describes it as "long non-coding RNA (TAES_LNC003637)". Lineage: Eukaryota; Viridiplantae; Streptophyta; Magnoliopsida; Poales; Poaceae. The record is from RNAcentral.
ACCAAAUCAACUAAACCUCCUAUCGUUGUUCUUUGCACCAAAUCAAAAGAACAUCACACACACAACAAACUUGCUAUAAAUUUCAUACAUCCAAGCACCAAAUCCGCAUAACAGUAUUUUUGUUGCGUCAGAACAAAACAUUAUAUGAGAAGCUUGCUGCAAGUUGAUAUUUUAGAAGAAAAAAUAUCAAACUAUAACAUGAAUUCUGAAUAUUUAGAAGUCAAAAAACGACCCUAAUCAACAAUCACCGAUGUACAAUAUUAUUAUAUUUCCGACCAUGAUCAAAUUAUUGCUGUAUAGAACAGACGACUCUAAUCUCGCCGAUGUCGCUUCCGUAGUGAUUGAUGCACUGCAUUGGCAAAAAGGGCGGUCAGUCCACAUCAAAGGACUGAUAUCAAAGCAUUGAUGACCAGCUAGCAAAGAAAGAUCAUAAAAUAAUCGUGCAUUGAUUUCAAAAUUUCACGGAUCAAAUGGGCAGCAACAUCGCAUCCAUAUCCACUAAACAAAUGAUCUUCCAAUGGAAAGCUGCAAAUAGCAGCACAGAAUAAUAAUAUUAGAAAUGAACAACCAGGCAUAUAUAUCAAUGAUACAGCGUUAUACAUCGUGUAAGAAUACACUAAAUUCGUAUGACCACAAAAAACUAUGGUCUACUUUCAGAGAACAGUACCAAAAUCACAAGUUUAUGAACAAAGAUUUCUUUCUUUCUUUCCCCGCAAAAAAAAGAUUUCUUUCUUUGGUACAAAAUAAUACUUGCAAAAGGAGGGCAAAGCAAAAUUAAAUGAAAUGCGGAGAUAGAUCAAUUCAGUUCCAAUAUGCACUGUAUAAAUAAGAGCUUCCAUUACAGUCAUAAUCAGGGGAAAACAGGACAAAGAAAGGACAAGAUAAGUACAUAAAAAAGGACAAGAUAAGAUGAUGUACAUGAAUGGAUUCUCAUCUCAUAAGCAUUUAUCAUGGUGCAUUCUAGGGAAAUCAAAUUUCAGAUAAAAAGUUAUGAAAUCUGGCGGAUACCAAUGGAUGCACACACUACACAUAUUCUGGGUGUUCAAGACCAGUAUGCAUGAAAAUAGCUACAAGGGGGAUUCUUGCAUAUUCUAGAUGAUCUUGCAAGGAAAUAAGAGAACAAGGAAGGUUCAUGUGGGCUACUUGAGCCAUCAGCUUCAGGUUACUAGAUGAACAAGGAAGGUUCAUGUGAGCUAGAUGAAGAUGCGAGUCCCAGUAGGGUACAAAGAAAACCAAGUAUGUACAUCAAGAUCAAUAUACCUUAGUCUUCACGAUGCUGCCCCAAGCGGGGUCUUGCUGCGGCUGUGAGGCGGUGAAGCUGGCCUACAGAAAAUGGAGGCAAAAUGCAGAUUUAGACAUCGAAAGUAGUAUGAAACAGUUAUCGUUCUAAUGUAGCACAUACAAGUCAGGUCAAGCAACAUAAAGUGGUAUGAAACAGUUAUCGUUCUAAUGGAGGCAAUAUAUUUUUUUCUCUUAUUACAAAAACAUUUUAUGUCUACACAUCUCAAUAUAUUCUAUAUGUUCUGACAAGUAAAACUUUCUGCAUCUAAAUUAGUAAAGUGCACUGUCGUAGUUGCAUGGCUUCAAGAUGCCUUGAUCUCAGAGCAUUUUACCUAAAUUUCUCUUCACCCCCACUAUCAGAAAAAAUUCAUGUAGUUGAUGUUCACCUCAGUUACAUAAAACUCAACUUUUCUCACCUCCCAAGGAUAUCAUUGACAAAACUAUAUAGCUACAAUUGCAUCUUGUUGAUUCUCUACAGGUAGCUGCAAAUAUAGUACUGAAUCUCAGGGACAAAUAAAUACUAGAUUACUAGUAGCAUAUAUGUGCACUGCUAAUGACAUUGACAAAAAGAUUCGACUAUGUAGCAGAUUUGGUUAGAUUCAACUAGGUACACCAUUUGCACCAAAUCACAGGUAGAGCAAGUACAGAGGAGGGUACUGGGAAGCUGUAGUAAGCAGAGAGGAGAGGUGGAGCCUCGCCGGCAAGACGGCCCUUGUCACCGGUGGAAAAGGGGACGGGAAACCCUAGAAAUCAAAAGGGGGGAGAGGAAGGAAACAAGGGUGGGGGAGAAGAUCUUACCGGCAUAGAAACGUUGGGGAGGGCCACCGGAGUAGGUUGGUGCGGCCGCCGAGCUCGCGCCGGGGAUGGAAGAAGAGGGUCGCAGAUCGGCUGCUGACUUGGGGAGAGUGGGGCGAGGUAGAAGGAUGGCGCAGCAGCCGGUCUUCAGUGGAGGAGAGAGAUCGCCCGCUCCGGCCCCUCGCCGUCGCCUAGUUCUUCCCUGUCGGCGUCGGCGCCGCCGCCGCUCUCGCCCGCUCCUCCUUUUUCUUUCGAGCCGAGAAGACUGAGA